CCCUUUCUCUCUCUUUAUAUCAAUCUGUAUCAUCAUUAUUGAAUUACGUGAUCUUUUCAGUCCAUUUAUUUGCUUCUUUGAUACAAUCAUAUGUUCAACUUCCUAUCAAAUUUGUGCUGAUUCUCUUAUUUCAAUCUACAUAUCGCCAUUCUAUGACCAUCUUUAUGUUUCCCAUUAACCCGAUUACCUGAUCUCUGGUUAAACAAUUGUCAUCCAUUGGUUAUCGUGACUUCUCAAUGUUACCUGAUAUAAUUUUACUUCACCACCUGACAAAGGAUCACCUUCAAUGUUUCACUUGUUCAGAUGUAACCAAUUAGACUGAUAAACAAAAUUAGGAUCCAUGUGUUUAGAUACAUUGUAUUAAGUCUUGAUUUACUGUUGUUUUUUGAAAAAACUGGUUUUCUCUUUUUACCCAAUUUGCCUCCAAAAAUCAAAACAAACUUUCUCACUCACUUUUCUCUCUUUCUCCUUCCCUUUGAUGGUAACCAAAAUUACACCAAUCAAUUGUUCCAGUCAAUAGUUUUCCUGUAAAUCAUCGAGUUUGACUGAAGCGCGUUAUUGUGAAUUAAUCUUGCUGCUAAGUAACUGGUUGAAUUGCUCCAUUGCUUUUGUGCUUUAAUUAUGGCGCCUGUUGAGGCCUUAAGUCUUUUAAAUUCCAGUAGAGACUGUACCCACCUUCAAAUUGAUGUACUUCACAUGAUCAACUGUUUCUUUGCUACAUUCCUUUUUUAUCACUGAUGUUUGGACAGUAACUUUCCAAUUUGCUUUAUGAUCAAUAAUGGAUAAAUGUAGAUGCUCCUGUGGUAGAGACUUAAGACUAUUCUUGGAGGAGGUCAAUUUAAUUUACCUUCAUUCAUGUUUCAAGGCAAGUUGUGAUCAAUGCAAAUCGUGGAAUGAUGCAUGUUUUCACUGUGGACAACAAAUGGACGCAAGUAAUUCCAUGGAGAUAAAAUAUACUGAAAAGCCUUCUGGUUUAAAGCCUGAAAUAAUUUUUUGUCGUUGUCAAGAAGCUUUAAUGUGUAUCCAUCAUUUGACGUACAUUUAUCAAAAUCGAUUCGUUUCUAGCGAAUGUAUCUCAAAGUGCUUGGAAUUAGCCAAAGAAGGAAGAGCACUGUGUUCAAGUUGUGAUAGCCAAAAAUAUAUUGAAUGUAUCACUGUAGAUGGUAAAAUUUCUGUAUGUGUUGAAUGUUAUUUCAACCUUUGUGAUAACAUACCAUCUUUUAUUACUGUCAAAGAGGUUCUAACCUAUCAAUUUGUCAAAGCAAUCAGACCCCUAGUCGUUGAUAAUACGAAUCAGACUCUAGAAUGUGGUGCUUUUAGCUUUCAAGACAUGGAUUCAGAGCUAACCAAUAUCAAUAGUUCCCCCGAUUCAUCAUAUGCAAAUCUUAAACGAAUAUUACCUUUAACACUUGAAGAAAGGUGCGAUUUCACAUUCUAUCGCUCUAACCAAUGUGUUAUUGAUAUACUCAUAGAUUCUAUCACGGCAGAAAAUAUUGGCUGGGAGCAAGCAAUUGACUCGAUAAGAUUGUUAAACUGUACAAUUAUUGAUUGAAAAGAUUUUAACACUAUUUUAUUUUACAUAAACAACAACCUGAAUUGUCUGACUUUUAAACUCUUAAACAUACAACAUGUAACCUAUAACCUAGAAUUUUAUGCUCAUAACCACACUAUUCCUCAUUUCUUAAAGUAUAUUUAAAACGAGAUUUAAAAACAACUCAUUAGUUGCCAAAUUGAUUAAUUUUUUAACAAAUCAACAAUAAAUUCGCCUUCAUUCUUCAA
Tetranychus urticae (two-spotted spider mite) is the source of this 1779-nucleotide long non-coding RNA. RefSeq lists it as uncharacterized. NCBI's taxonomy places the organism in Eukaryota, Metazoa, Arthropoda, Arachnida, Trombidiformes, Tetranychidae. The record is from RefSeq and is a predicted model, not a curated record.